GCUUGAGCUGAAAGUGUGUGAGUCAGAAUGAACCUUUCAGAGUUGCCUGGAGGUUGCUGCAGAUUAACUCUCACUCUCUCUGUCUAGGUUUCUCUUCAGGUUUUGUCCAGGGUUUUGUUUCAAGGAAACCUCAGAGUGUUUUGCUUCCCUUCCUUUUUCUGUCUGUUAUCCCUAUUUUAUAACCUGAUUUUCAUGGCUUUGUGGGCUCAAAUGAGAGAGGUCCAAGUCCAAGAUUUUUCUAUUAUAUUUUAUUUA
This 255-nucleotide long non-coding RNA is filed under the name Lathyrus oleraceus (garden pea). RNAcentral describes it as "Pisum sativum (pea) long non-coding RNA (PSAT_LNC026083)". The record is from RNAcentral. Lineage: Eukaryota; Viridiplantae; Streptophyta; Magnoliopsida; Fabales; Fabaceae.